This 377-nucleotide ribosomal RNA is filed under the name uncultured bacterium. RNAcentral describes it as "bacterial SSU rRNA". It matches the Rfam family "Bacterial small subunit ribosomal RNA", at positions 521 to 896 of the family's 1533-position model. The record is from RNAcentral.
UAAUACGUAGGGUGCUAGCGUUGUUCGGAAUCAUUGGGCGUAAAGCGCGUGUAGGCUGCUAGGUAAGUCGAUUGUGAAAUCCCUGGGCUCAACCGAGGAAGUGCAGUCGAAACUCCCUAGCUAGAAGACGGUAGAGGAAGGUGGAAUUCCAAGUGUAGAGGUGAAAUUCGUAGAUAUUUGGAGGAAUACCGGUGGCGAAGGCGGCCUUCUGGACCGCUCUUGACGCUGAGACGCGAAAGCGUGGGUAGCAAACAGGAUUAGAUACCCUGGUAGUCCACGCCGUAAACGAUGGGUACUAGGUGUUGCAGGAAUUGACCCCUGCAGUGCCGUAGCUAACGCAUUAAGUACCCCGCCUGGGAAGUACGGCCGCAAGGUUA